UAAUACGGGGGGGGCAAGCGUUGUUCGGAAUUACUGGGCGUAAGGAGCGAGCAGGUGGUUCAUUAAGUCAAUUGUGAAAGCUCAAGGCUUAACCUUGAAAUUGCUUUUGAUACUGAUGGACUAGAGUUUGGGAGAGGAUAGUGGAAUUCUAAGUGUAGAAGUGAAAUUCGUAGAUAUUUAGAGGAGCACCGAUAGCGAAGGCAACUAUCUGGCCCUUUACUGACACUCAGAAGCGAAAGCUUGGGUAGCAAACAGGAUUAGAUACCCUGGUAGUCCAUGCUGUAAACGAUGAGUGCUAGAUGUUAGAAGUUUACUUCUAGUAUCGAAGCUAACGCGUUAAGCACUCCGCCUGGGGAGUACGGCCGCAAGGCUA
Molecule: ribosomal RNA, 373 nt
Filed under: uncultured Alphaproteobacteria bacterium
Lineage: Bacteria; Pseudomonadati; Pseudomonadota; Alphaproteobacteria
Description: bacterial SSU rRNA
Rfam family: Bacterial small subunit ribosomal RNA
Source: RNAcentral